ACGGGUGAGUAACGCGUGGAUAACCUGCCGUAUACAGGGGGAUAACACUUAGAAAUAGGUGCUAAUACCGCAUAAGCGCACGGUUCCGCAUGGAACAGUGUGAAAAACUCCGGUGGUAUACGAUGGAUCCGCGUCUGAUUAGCCAGUUGGCGGGGUAACGGCCCACCAAAGCGACGAUCAGUAGCCGGCCUGAGAGGGUGAACGGCCACAUUGGGACUGAGACACGGCCCAAACUCCUACGGGAGGUAGCAGUGGGGAAUAUUGCACAAUGGGGGAAACCCUGAUGCAGCGACGCCGCGUGAGUGAAGAAGUAUUUCGGUACGUAAAGCUCUAUCAGCAGGGAAGAAAAAAAGUCCUUUGGACUUUGGACGGUACCUGACCAAGAAGCCCCGGCUAACUACGUGCCAGCAGCCGCGGUAAUACGUAGGGGGCAAGCGUUAUCCGGAUUUACUGGGUGUAAAGGGAGCGUAGACGGCAGCGCAAGUCUGGAGUGAAAUGCCGGGGCCCAACCCCGGAACUGCUUUGGAAACUGUGCAGCUCGAGUGCAGGAGAGGUAAGCGGAAUUCCUAGUGUAGCGGUGAAAUGCGUAGAUAUUAGGAGGAACACCAGUGGCGAAGGCGGCUUACUGGACUGUAACUGACGUUGAGGCUCGAAAGCGUGGGGAGCAAACAGGAUUAGAUACCCUGGUAGUCCACGCCGUAAACGAUGAUUACUAGGUGUCGGGGGGCCAAGGCCCUUCGGUGCCGCCGCAAACG
RNAcentral lists this ribosomal RNA (755 nucleotides) under uncultured bacterium. RNAcentral describes it as "bacterial SSU rRNA". It matches the Rfam family "Bacterial small subunit ribosomal RNA", at positions 102 to 857 of the family's 1533-position model. The record is from RNAcentral.